This 253-nucleotide ribosomal RNA is filed under the name uncultured bacterium. RNAcentral's name for it is "partial 16S ribosomal RNA". It matches the Rfam family "Bacterial small subunit ribosomal RNA", at positions 524 to 776 of the family's 1533-position model. The record is from RNAcentral.
UACGGGGGGGGCAAGCGUUGUUCGGAAUUAUUGGGCGUAAAGGGCGCGUAGGCGGCCUGGCAAGUGGAAGGUGAAAUCCCUCGGCUUAAACGAGGAACUGCCCUCCAAACUGCUUGGCUUGAGUCCGGGAGAGGUGAGUGGAAUUCCCAGUGUAGCGGUGAAAUGCGUAGAUAUUGGGAGGAACACCAGUGGCGAAGGCGGCUCACUGGACCGGAACUGACGCUGAGGCGCGAAAGCGUGGGGAGCAAACGGG